CGAAAGAUUGAUCCAGUUACUUAUUAGAAUGAUAUAUUAAUUAUUAAUAUUUAAAAUAAUAUAUAUUUAUAUAUAUUAUUAUAUUUAUAUUAAAUAAAAAUAAUAUUAAUUGAUUAACAAUAAAGUUCAUAAAUAAUUAAAAUAAUGAUAUUAAUUACUUGUAUUAAUUACAAGUAUAUUUAUAUAUAUAUUUAUUUAUAUAUAUAGAUAUAUUUAAUAGUCCUAACCAAAAUUUGUGCCAGCAGUUGCGGUAAAACAAUGGGGGCAAGCGUUAAUCAUAAUGGCUUAAAGAAUUCGUAGAAUUAUAUAUAUUAUAUAUAUAUUAGAGUUAAUAAAUAUUAAUUAAAGAAUUAUAAUAGUAAAGAUGAAAUAAUAAUGAUAAUUAUAAGACUGGUAUACGUGAAAAUAUUAAUUAAUUAUUAACUGACAUUGAGGAAUGAAGGCUAGAGUAGCAAUCCGGAUUCGAUACCCGAGUAGUUCUAGCAGUAAACUAUGAACACCAAUUUUUAAUAUAUAAUAUUAAAAAUAAAAUGAAAAUGUAAGUGUUCCGCCUGAAGAGUACGUUCGCAAGGAUGAAAUUCAAGACAAUAGACGGUUACAGACUUAAGCAGUGGAGCAU
RNAcentral lists this ribosomal RNA (619 nucleotides) under Kluyveromyces marxianus. Its description in RNAcentral is "partial small subunit ribosomal RNA". The stretch from base 133 to 619 matches the Rfam family "Bacterial small subunit ribosomal RNA", at positions 1 to 940 of the family's 1533-position model. The record is from RNAcentral. Lineage: Eukaryota; Fungi; Ascomycota; Saccharomycetes; Saccharomycetales; Saccharomycetaceae.